GGCCCUAGAAAUCGCUCUGCAAAAUGCAUAUUUUUCCCUUCUACUGUUAAUCUGCUCGACGAUGGAGCUCUCGCUCUCGCUCUCCUAUAGCAGAGGAGGAACUUGCCCUUCUCCAUAUCAGCUAAAUCUGUUAUUGCAUGGAGCUAAACAACAUAUAAGUUGGCAAUAUACUCCGUAUUUAUUUUCUCCAAUCAGGAAGCCUACAAAAUUCUCUUGGCAGCAAAAAUGGCAUCUUGGAAUAAGACAUAGCUGCCAAAAGGUUGUGUCUUAUAACAAACAAGGCAUUCCUAUUUUGGAAGCAAGAUCUAUUGAAGAGAUAUAUGAUGAUCUAGGAGAACGUGUCCUUUCUAUCACAAGAACAAUGAAUCAUUUUGAUAAAAAGUACAUCGUUGGUUUGGCUGGCCCUCCUGGUGCUGGUAAGAGCACUUUAGCUGCCGAAGUUGUUCAGCGCCUGAACUUCAUUUCAUACAAUAAAGAUGCAAUAGCUGUUGUUCUUCCAAUGGAUGGAUUCCAUCUUUAUAGAUCUCAACUGGAUGCUAUGGAGGACCCAGAGGAAGCUCAUGCAAGAAGAGGAGCACCCUGGACAUUUAAUCCAGAUCUUCUCUUGAAAUGCCUUUGCUCUUUGAGGAGUCAGGGAUGGGUGUAUGCUCCUUCAUUCGAUCACGGUGUCGGUGAUCCAGUGGAAAAUGACAUCUACAUUGGUCCUUUGCAUAAAAUAGUGAUUGUAGAAGGAAAUUAUUUAUUUCUAGAUGAAGGGGUCUGGAAGGAUGUAUGCUCCAUAUUUGAUGAAAAAUGGUUUAUUGACAUUAAUCUUGAUGCUUCUAUGCAAAGAGUUCUGAAAAGACAUAUUGCAACAGGAAAGGAGCCUGAUGUAGCAAAAUGGAGGAUUGAUUAUAACGACCGACCAAAUGCAGAACUCAUCUUAAAAUCUAAGCAUAAGGCAGAUCUUAUAAUUAAGUCUGUAAACUUCCAAAGCUGAAGGUUCAAACUAAAAAGCACAAUCUGAUGCUACAGUAGUGCUUGAUGCCUGGAGCUGGCUCCCCAAGCACUUGUUGCAGAGUUAUUGAAGAAAAUGAGAGGACGGUAAAGAAACUGGGGGCACGUAAAAAAUACAAUCAUCACUAUCAUUUUAAAAGUGAAAUACACAUUUUCAUGCACAAGUUUAUGACAAUUAAGAUUUAUAUGUAACAUCAUGAGAAUUGGGUAGUAUGUAUGGAAAUUUCCCAAGAAACUAUGGGAUCAAAUUAUAGAAUGAAUCAAAU
RNA transcript from Phalaenopsis equestris, 1262 nucleotides. It is a transcript of the gene named putative uridine kinase C227.14, with no coding region annotated. The transcript has 13 exons. The record is from RefSeq and is a predicted model, not a curated record. NCBI's taxonomy places the organism in Eukaryota, Viridiplantae, Streptophyta, Magnoliopsida, Asparagales, Orchidaceae.